UAGAAUAUCUACAAGAUUAUCGCGGAGGA
RNAcentral lists this non-coding RNA (29 nucleotides) under Bombyx mori (domestic silkworm). Lineage: Eukaryota; Metazoa; Arthropoda; Insecta; Lepidoptera; Bombycidae. The record is from RNAcentral.